RNAcentral lists this ribosomal RNA (496 nucleotides) under uncultured bacterium. RNAcentral describes it as "partial 16S ribosomal RNA". It matches the Rfam family "Bacterial small subunit ribosomal RNA", at positions 28 to 523 of the family's 1533-position model. The record is from RNAcentral.
GAUGAACGCUAGCGGCAGGCCUAACACAUGCAAGUCGAGGGGUAGAGGUUGCUUGCAACCUUGAGACCGGCGCACGGGUGCGUAACGCGUAUGCAAUCUGCCUUGUACUGAGGGAUAGCCCAGAGAAAUUUGGAUUAAUACCUCAUAGUAUCUUUUCCCGGCAUCGGGAGAUUAUUAAAUUUCCAAGGGUACAAGAUGAGCAUGCGUCCCAUUAGCUAGUGGGUAUGGUAACGGCAUACCAAGACAAUGAUGGGUAGGGGUCGUGAGAGGGAGAUCCCCCACACUGGUACUGAGACACGGACCAGACUCCUACGGGAGGCAGCAGUGAGGAAUAUUGGUCAAUGGGCGCAAGCCUGAACCAGCCAUGCCGCGUGCAGGAUGAAGCAUCUAUGGUGUGUAAACUGCUUUUAUACGGGAAGAAACACCGGUUCGUGAACCGGCUUGACGGUACCGUAAGAAUAAGGAUCGGCUAACUCCGUGCCAGCCGCCGCCGUAA